GGGACGAACGCUGGCGGCGUGCCUAACACAUGCAAGUCGAACGAGGUCCAUCCGGUGGCAACACUGGUGAAGACCUAGUGGCGAACGGGUGAGUAUCACGUGAGCAACCUGCCCCGAAGACUGGGAUAACACCGGGAAACCGGUGCUAAUACCGGAUAUCCCCACCGAAUCGCAUGGUUUGGUGAGGAAAUGAAUUUCGCUUUGGGAGGGACUCGCGGCCUAUCAGCUUGUUGGUGGUGUAACGGACCACCAAGGCUUCGACGGGUAGCUGGUCUGAGAGGACGAUCAGCCACACUGGGACUGAGACACGGCCCAGACUCCUACGGGAGGCAGCAGUGGGGAAUCUUGCGCAAUGGGCGAAAGCCUGACGCAGCAACGCCGCGUGAGGGACGAAGGCCUUCUGGGUUGUAAACCUCUUUCAGCAGGGACGAUGAUGACGGUACCUGCAGAGAGCCCGGCAACUACGUGCCAGCAGCCGC
RNAcentral lists this ribosomal RNA (479 nucleotides) under uncultured bacterium. Its description in RNAcentral is "SSU rRNA". It matches the Rfam family "Bacterial small subunit ribosomal RNA", at positions 27 to 518 of the family's 1533-position model. The record is from RNAcentral.